Molecule: ribosomal RNA, 256 nt
Filed under: uncultured bacterium
Lineage: Bacteria
Description: partial 16S ribosomal RNA
Rfam family: Bacterial small subunit ribosomal RNA
Source: RNAcentral
GACGGGGGGGGGCAAGCGUUUGUUCGGAAUUAUUGGGCGUAAAGCGCACGUAGGCGGUUCGUUAAGUCGGAUGUGAAAGCCCUCGGCUCAACUGAGGAAGUGCACCCGAAACUGGCGAGCUUGAGUACGAAAGAGGAUCGCGGAAUUCCCGGUGUAGAGGUGAAAUUCGUAGAUAUCGGGAGGAACACCGGUGGCGAAGGCGGCGAUCUGGGUCGAUACUGACGCUGAGGUGCGAAAGCGUGGGGGAGCAAACAGG